CCCUUAGAUGUUCUGGGCUGCACGCGCGCUACACUGACGCACGCAACAGGUGCCUGCUCCGAGAGGACUGGGUAAUCAUUUGAGUGUGCGUCGUGAUGGGGAUAGAAUAUUGUAAUUAUUACUCUUCAACGAGGAAUUCCUAGUAAGCGCAAGUCAGCAGCUUGCGCUGAUUACGUCCCUGCCCUUUGUACACACCGCCCGUCGCUCCUACCGAUGGGUGAUCCGGUGAAUGAUUCGGACUUCAGCGGCUCCUCGGGGGUGCGCCGGAGAAAGUUUUGUGAACCUUAUCACUUGGAGGAAGGAGAAGUCGUAACA
RNAcentral lists this ribosomal RNA (315 nucleotides) under uncultured eukaryote. RNAcentral's name for it is "partial 18S ribosomal RNA". It matches the Rfam family "Eukaryotic small subunit ribosomal RNA", at positions 1470 to 1796 of the family's 1831-position model. The record is from RNAcentral.